This is a non-coding RNA of Schistosoma mattheei, 45 nucleotides long. The record is from Rfam. NCBI's taxonomy places the organism in Eukaryota, Metazoa, Platyhelminthes, Trematoda, Strigeidida, Schistosomatidae.
AUCCAGCUGACGAGUCUCAAAUAGGACGAAACGCGCGUCUGAGAU